CGCACGUCGCCUUGGGGUCAAAGACAAAGCCCUGCGCCACCCCGCGGGGUGCGUCCGAGCGAGCCCAGCACAGCGACACCAAGGAGGCCAGGAGGAGAAAUCCCAAUCCCGCCGUCGCCGUAAAAGCCAUGACUGACAAAGCCUGAGUAUCAAGACAUCCAGGAGCCCCACGGCACGACGCCCACCAAGCAGGCAGGAGUUAAACAGGAAGUGAGCCAGCGUUUUGACGAGCGGAGCAGAUGUGAACAUACCACGACACACUGGAGCUGUCUCGCUGUCAAGAUGGAGGAAGCAGUCGAGAGUCAGGGGGAAAAUGACGACACUUUGGGAACGCCCCAUCCAUCGCCUGAUUGGUCAGAAUCUUCCAACGCGGAUGACGUCAGGUGAAACUGUCCAAAAUGCCUUGCUCCACAUUACCUUUGGUAAAGGUAGUAGAACGAGCGUGUUUUCCAAAAUCUAAGUUUAAAAACUCACUUCCAAAAGGGCAUAAAUAUUUAAAUAUGUUGCACAUUUUGUUUGGUACGUUUCUAAGAAGCUGAUACUUUUUUCUUAUAGUAAUAAUAAUUUAUGUAGUUA
This is a non-coding RNA of Doryrhamphus excisus (bluestripe pipefish), 576 nucleotides long. The record is from RefSeq and is a predicted model, not a curated record. Lineage: Eukaryota; Metazoa; Chordata; Actinopteri; Syngnathiformes; Syngnathidae.